This 511-nucleotide ribosomal RNA is filed under the name uncultured bacterium. RNAcentral's name for it is "bacterial SSU rRNA". It matches the Rfam family "Bacterial small subunit ribosomal RNA", at positions 1002 to 1510 of the family's 1533-position model. The record is from RNAcentral.
AGAGAUAGAGUCUUCCCCUUCGGGGGACAAAGUGACAGGUGGUGCAUGGUUGUCGUCAGCUCGUGUCGUGAGAUGUUGGGUUAAGUCCCGCAACGAGCGCAACCCUUAAGCUUAGUUGCCAGCAUUAAGUUGGGCACUCUAAGUUGACUGCCGGUGACAAACCGGAGGAAGGUGGGGAUGACGUCAAAUCAUCAUGCCCCUUAUGAUUUGGGCUACACACGUGCUACAAUGGACAAUACAAAGGGCAGCUAAACCGUGAGGUCAUGCAAAUCCCAUAAAGUUGUUCUCAGUUCGGAUUGUAGUCUGCAACUCGACUACAUGAAGCUGGAAUCGCUAGUAAUCGUAGAUCAGCAUGCUACGGUGAAUACGUUCCCGGGUCUUGUACACACCGCCCGUCACACCACGAGAGUCUGUAACACCCGAAGCCGGUGGAGUAACCAUUUAUGGAGCUAGCCGUCGAAGGUGGGACAAAUGAUUGGGGUGAAGUCGUAACAAGGUAGCCGUAUCGGAA